UGGGGAAUCUUCCGCAGUGGACGAAAGUCUGACGGAGCAACGCCGCGUGAGUGAUGACGGCCUUCGGGUUGUAAAGCUCUGUUAAUCGGGACGAAAGGCCUUCUUGCGAACAGUUAGAAGGAUUGACGGUACCGGAAUAGAAAGCCACGGCUAACUACGUGCCAGCAGCCGCGGUAAUACGUAGGUGGCAAGCGUUGUCCGGAAUUAUUGGGCGUAAAGCGCGCGCAGGCGGAUCAGUCAGUCUGUCUUAAAAGUUCGGGGCUUAACCCCGUGAUGGGAUGGAAACUGCUGAUCUAGAGUAUCGGAGAGGAAAGUGGAAUUCCUAGUGUAGCGGUGAAAUGCGUAGAUAUUAGGAAGAACACCAGUGGCGAAGGCGGCUUUCUGGACGAAAACUGACGCUGAGGCGCGAAAGCCAGGGGAGCGAACGGGAUUAGAUACCCCGGUAGUCCUGGCCGUAAACGAUGGGUACUAGGUGUAGGAGGUAUCGACCCCUUCUGUGCCGGAGUUAACGCAAUAAGUACCCCGCCUGGGGAGUACGACCGCAAGGUUG
RNAcentral lists this ribosomal RNA (550 nucleotides) under uncultured bacterium. RNAcentral's name for it is "bacterial SSU rRNA". It matches the Rfam family "Bacterial small subunit ribosomal RNA", at positions 355 to 896 of the family's 1533-position model. The record is from RNAcentral.